This is a non-coding RNA of Oryctolagus cuniculus (rabbit), 7054 nucleotides long. The record is from RefSeq and is a predicted model, not a curated record. Lineage: Eukaryota; Metazoa; Chordata; Mammalia; Lagomorpha; Leporidae.
ACGGCUGGCACGCUGCGCUGAUCCAAAGCCAGGAGCCAGGUGCUUUCUCCUGGUGUUCCACGUGGAUGCAGGUGCCCAGGCACUUGGGCCAUCCUCCACUGCCUCCCCAGGCCACAGCAGAGAGCUGGACUGGAAGAGGAGCAACUGGGACUAGAACCUGGUGCCCAUAUGGGAUGCUGGCACUGUAGGUGGAAGAUUAACCGAGUGAGCCACGGCGCCGGCCCCAAGAAAAGCAUCUUCGAUAAGCUCACAGCCAGUCCGAGCUGAAUCCGAAUUCAAGUUUGUCUAAUGCAGUGGUUCUCAACUGGGGGCAUCCAGGCCCCUGGAGGCCAUUUGGCAAUGUCUAGAAACAUUUUUGGUUGUCCUAACUGGCGGAGUGGAGGGAGUUGCCCUGGCAACUGAGAUGGAAACCAGGGAGGGUGCUGAACAUCCUACUAUGCACAGAGCAGCACCCCACCCACUCACCCAGCAAGAAGUUAUCCAGCUCAAAAUGUCAACAGUGCUGAGAUUGAGAAAUCCUCGGCUCCAAGCCUGUGUUUUUUGCCUGGAGGAGGUGAGUUGGGGUUGGGGGUGGGGUUGGUGAGCAGAACAAAAUGGAGAAGGGCCACUCCAAGCUUCCCAAGUGGGAAGGGGAUAGGAGUUCUAUGCUAAGGAUAAUGGAGAAUGAGGGCAGCUGGUGAGACUUCUCUUUCUUCCAGGCUUGGCCAGGGCUCUGCUCAGUUCCUCCCAGCCUUGCCAAGUCAGUCCUGGGACUUCUCACUAAGCUUGUCCUGGAGUGACCCCAACUCCUAGCUCAGGGUAGGGGCAGAAUAUUUACCUGAAUCUCCCUGCAGGACUUCCCAGCCAAAGCCCCUGGCUUCUGGGACCAGUGUGUUCCACCUGCACUCCACGUUAGCACCCUUGCUGUAGGGGUGGGAGUGCAGGCAAGGUACCACUGAAAGUAAAAAAAAAAAAAAAAAAGGCACAGCCAAGGCAGCAGGUGGCAUCUGAGAACAACUAGAAAUAGUGGUUGGAGAAAGCCUCCCCCCUAGCAACUCCGAGUGAGGAGGAGCAGAGCUACUUGAGGAGGGGAUAGGCAGCAGCCGGCCCAGGGAAAGCUUCUGACCCCAAAGUUCGCUUCCCACAGCCCUCCUUCUCCUCUAGGGCUGGUCCUCAGCUUCCCAGUACCCUCCCCAGUGCACCCAGCCAGCCACCAGCCCAGGGAGGGCGGUCUGCUGACUGCUGACAGGAAAUACCUUUCCUUCUAGGCCCAGCACCUCAGCAGAUUGGGGGUGGUGGGGACAGACAGUCUUGAGUGAUGGGGAAGAGAAAGGAUCAUGCAAUCCUGUCCCCAUAUUUGGGGUUCCAGCCAAGGGAGGAGGGGGUGGAGGGCAAGCCAGGAGGAGGAUGUGGUAACAGCUGAUUCGUCCCCUGAGGUUACACUUUCCAACAAUCAGCUGUUACUGGGGCGGAAGGCAGGAAGUUUCCUUAAAGGCACAAUGUUCUGAACACAGGCUCAGGAUUCCGGAGCUCGGAGGACCCGCAGCAGUCCCCUGGCACAGCCUGUAUCUAACGAAGAAGGGACUGUCUCGGGCUCCAGGCUCACCCCUUCGCCCAGUUAGCCUCCUCCCCAUCUCGGACCUACAGACAAGUCCCCAACCCCCUAUCCAUCCCUUCCUGGGGGUGGUGGUGGGGGUCCCAGACUCGCCCUUUAAAUAGCAGCUCAGCCGCUUUUGCCAAGUCAUUGGGUUCAUUUCGGUUUUUGCCCUUCCCCCGCACCUCGAGCCUCUGAUUGGCCCCUGGGGAAAGAGCAGCCUCCUCAUUGGUCUCCACCUUUGAAAUCUCGUCCUUAAGUAGGCCUGAGUCAGAGAGCGCCUCGGAGGGCGGGACCGCACUGGGGGUUAACUGGGGAUGGGGCUGCAGGUCGCUCGCGCUUGGCCCGGCCCCGGCGCCCUCCACGCUCCGGCGAGGGCUAUGCCAUGAGCCGCUUGUUAGGGAGCUGCCUCGAGGCGCCCACAAGAGAGGGCUCCUGUGGUUAGGGAGGGCCGGACGAGGCCUCCCCGUGGAAGCCGGGGCUGGGCGAGGCGACCGAGCCCUCAGGGCUUCUCCUGCGGGAGCCUCCGCUGCCCGGGGGCGGGUCUCCACCUUCAGUUCUGCCCACUCCUCGCUGCUUCGCCUGCUCCGCCUCUACUCAGAGAGACACAGCCUCCUGCGGAGGCCAGCGAAUCCGUCUUGGCGUGGUCUCACAGAAGCGCUCGCGGCUCCACAAAGGAGGGGCCGUAGCCCUUUAAGGACUUCCCGGGAUGGAUUCAGAGAGGAGUUUAAAAAUGCCAACUCACAGAGCGCGCUGGCUGCUGGGAGCGAGGGUGUCGGGCCGAGAACUACCUCGACCAGGGUGCACCGCAAACACACGCCUCUCCUUCCUUCUGCUCCUCAGGGCCCUGCUUUGACGUAGCGCUCCUCUCUGCAAGCCGCUCGGGCGGAGGGCUGCGCCACGCCUUUUCACCCAUUGGCCACUUCCCGAGUUGGCAGGCGUGGCUUAGCGCUGCUCCGCGAGGCAAAGGGGUGGCCUCCUUGCCAAUCAGAGCCAAGACGGCCGGGGGGGCGGGACCAAGGCGAAGUGCUGGCGCCCCGAGUGGGUGUGGUCACGUUGCCCAGCAGUGGGCGGUGAUUGGCCCUGGGCGGUGCAAUCGCGGCUUGUGCGUCACGACGCCGCCAGCUGAUCGGAGACUGGAGCCGGUGUGUGCUGGGCACUGGGAAGAGACAGCGCCGCCGGCCGUGGGGAGCGGACGCAGUGAUUUGCUCCCCUACCCUCAGCGACCCCCCACACCCAGCACCAGGAAACCGUACCUCUCCAGUUCUCACCUGGCUGAGCCGCAGUAGUUCUUCAGUGGCAAGCUUUAUGUCCUGACCCAGCUAAAGCUGCCAGUUGAAGAACUGUUGCCCUCUGCCCCUGGCUUCGAGGAAGAAGAGCAAGAGGAGGAGCAGCAGCUGCUAUCCCCGUCUUCUGGAAGGUGACAGGACCAGUGAGUGUGGGUGGUGGAGCCCUUUGGGAAAGGGAACCCUGCUCCCUCCACACUGGCCCAGCAAGAAAGCAAUUCUGGAUUAUAGGCACUGGCUGAAGCGGGGAAGAGAUGGCUCCAGCUACUCCAGUGUAAUUGGUCUUUGUAUGACGAUGGGAAGAAAUGCAGAGAAGAAAAUUCUGUGUCCUUGUUACCCAGAUUCCCAUUCUUCCCUAGCAGCCUUUGCAUGUGAGAUCCAAAAGUCAACUUACUCUUCAGGGAAAAGUGAUACUGAAGCUUCCAUCUGAGUGGUCACCCUCCUGCUCUUGCCUCUCCAAGUACUCCCUUAGACUGGCCCAGAGUCUGAGUGAGAGGUACUUACCUGUAUCUGGGAGCUGCUGUCUCAGUUUCUCUACCUGUGAGGUGGGGAAUCACACCGAUGAGUAUACAGCCCACUUGUGCAGCCUAGAGCCUGGGUCCUCCUGCUGUGAGUGGGAAUAAAACAGCUUUGUGAAAAAGAUUUCUUUUUCUUUUAUUUAUCUGAAAGGCAGAGUUAGAGAGAGAGAGAAGGAGUGAUGGAGUGGAGAUCCUGCAUCUGCUGCUUCACUCCUCAAAUGGCCUUAAUGACCAGGGCUGGGCCAGGCCAAAAGCAGCAACCAGGAGCUUCAUCUGGGUCUCCCAUGUGGGUGCUGGGGCCCAAGGCUUCAAGCCAUCUUCUGCUGCUUUCCCUUGCCAUUAGCAAGGAGCUGGGUGGGAAGCAGAGCAACCGGGACUUGAACCAGCACUCAUAUGGGAUACCAGCAUUGCUUAACCCCUUAUGCCACAACACCAGCCCCAAAGAUAGAUUGAUUAAUUGAUUUGAAAGGGUGGGGUGCAGGGACAGAGAGUGAAGAGAUCAGAGAGAGCUUCUACCUGAUGUUUGACUCCUCAAAUGGCCACAACAGCCUGUUCUGGGCCAGGCCAAAGCCAGGAGCCAGAACUCCAUCCAGGUCUCCCCCGUGGUACUUGAGCCAUCUUCUGCUGCCUUCUCAGGCACAUUAGCAGGAAAGUGGAUCAGAAGCAGAGUAGCCAGGACUUGAACCUGCACUCCAUGGCCAGCAUCACAACUGGUAGCUUAACCUGCUGCUCCUCAACACCAGCCCCAGAACAGCUUUCCACAAAAGUUAUUGAUCCUUCCGCAUUGCUGACCAUGACCCCAAGAGCUGAGGAGGGUGAGGAGUUGGAGGGAGGGGUCGGAGUCAGACCGAUACAAGGGUUCCUGGGAGCUCCGUCUCUACACUGACUUCCAGUCAUGCAGGAGUGGCCGGGGGACUCCACAGUCACCAGGGUAGAUCUGCAGCCCUUGAUGGGGUUCCAUCUGCCACUGCUCAUUUCUUCCCUGGCUUUGCCUUCCAGGGUAGUGUUGUGAGCUCAGCUCAGCUUGUGCACACAGGAGAUUCUUCCCUUCAGCAAGAGAGAGUUGCACUGUGGGAUAGUGACCUUUUGGAGCAUCAGUCCGUGUCCACCUGCCACCCCCAGCUGCCGAUCCAGCCUCACUCCCGGGCUCAGGCUCCGGUGUGGUUCAGCCUUGGGUUCACUCUCCCUGCCAGUUGAUGGCCGUGUUCAGAGGCUACAGGAAGUGGUUUGGUCUGUUUAGUGGGACAAGACGUGCUGCGGGCUGUCUCCUGCUCUGCAGUUAAGAGAAGCUGGGAGACGUAGGGGAGAGUAGGCCAUUGGACUGAGCCCCUCUGCAGCCGGAGCUGAGGGCAGGAUGUGUCUGGGACAGUUUAGAGGGGGAUGGGCAGACUGAAUCUACUAGGCUGCCAGAAAGAGCGCUGCGUCCCUGGACAUCCUCUCUGUCCUUUCUUCCCCUCACUGCUUCAGUGGCCACAGUGUCUCCCUCCACCCUCGGGUGUGUGGCUCUGCCAUCUUCCCUGUCAUGAAGCAGAGGCAAGGAAGGGCAGCUGGGAGCACAGAGAUAGGACACGGGGACUGGAGAGCACAGAGCCCUGUCUGGAUGUCUGGCAGAAGAGCCCAGCAAGGCCAGGAGCACCCGGGAGGAGGGAGAACAGCCAGGCUCCAGCAGGACAAGCUCCAGCCAUCUCCCGCCCCACUCACCGACUCGCUCCAGCUUCCUUCCUCCCUCAGAAGUCUGGGCACUGGUAAAGUGCUCUGUGGCUCCACCCUCCCCCCUUGCCUCUCACCCUGUAAUUUUAUAUAAGCAGCCGCAAGGAGCAAGAGCCAGCUGUGAAAGGACAGACAGGAAAUUGAUGGAAGAAAGUCAAGUGGAUGCAACCAUGCAAAAAGUGUACACAUCAUUGGUAAAUAAAGGCCAGUGUAACUGAGAGCAUUUUCCCCUUCACAAACUAUAAGGGGAAAAAAGCCUAAUAUUGGUCAGGGUUCGGUGCUAAAAUAACACUGCACAUCUGGUAUAUGGGAGUCUGAACUGAGCCAGACUUCCUGGAAGGCGUGUUGGUAGUCUGCAUCAAACACCCUACACGUUCGUUCCCACGUUCUUUGGCCUGGUAAUUUGACAUUUUAGAAUUUAUCCUGACAGUAACUAAGGAUUUAGUUAUGAUAUGUCCAUCCCAGUAUUGCAAUAGAGAAAAAUGGAAAUGCCUGUAGUAUUGAAAAUGUAUCAUUUUCUGCUGUAAUGAGAAUUGGCACUAGGGGAUCGCUUAAGUAAGCUAUUGUGUAUCUGUCCAGAGGGUGGAGUACCACACAGCCACUCCAGGCAUGUAGACAUUUGAAUGGAAAGAAAAAAUGCCCUUUGAUAUUAAGGAGGUUAUAAAAAUAGAGUAUAUGAUGUGAUCUCAAUUUUGUUUUUGAAAAUAUGAAUGUAUAUUCGUAUAUAGAGAACAGAUUUUUAAAAGAUGAAGAUAUCCUCAAAAAUGUUAAUAGUGGCUUGGAUGGUGGAAUAAAGUAAUUGUACUUUUCCUCUGAUUUUUCUCUGAGUUCCCAAUUUUGUACAUUAAUUGAAUAUUGCUUUCAUAUAAUAAAUAAAGUGUGAACGACGGGUGUAAUGCUUUAAACCUGUAGCGAAGUGGGUAUGCAGGAAGGGACGCCCCUGCCCCGUGUGAGCUGUUGGCUGGGGUGCCUGCAGGUCUGUGAGCUGCUGUGCUCGGCAGCGGCUGGAAUCCCCCUGGGCACACAGGGAAUCGCUGGCUCUCAGGUGCUGGCUGACAGCCAGCUGCAGAGGUGUGUACAAACCUGUCACUCGGGGGAAGUGGGGCCGCCACAGGGUUUUCCUCUCAAGGCAGGAGAAUUCUAGAACGCAACAGCGCCGCUGCUUGGUAUUCAUCUGCUGAUUGUGCCCUAACGCGGAGGUGACCUGUGUGACCUCCCUGCCCCUCGGGUUGGAGGGGGAGUCUCCUUCCAGCCCACCAGGUUCCGAGCCCCAGGGAGGAGGCCCGGGGUACUUCUCUCAAGCGGCCCCCUUUUUGCCUUCCCUUGCUAAUACGGCUCCUCUCUCUAGGAGGGAGGCCGUGGGAGGGGGCUUCCAGUGGGUUGCUUCUUCAGAAUGGGGGCUGCGGUUCCACCUGGGAGAUUCUGUGAAAGGCAGGAGGCAGGACUGCUGAACCUUGGGCGGGCUCGCUGUGAGGUGUCGUGGGGCCGGGAGGCGCAAGGGGUGGCCUCAUGGAAGAUGGGCGCCCCCUCCCCCAGCUGCCGGGGGCGGGGCGGGGAGGGCGGCGCGACCGCCCGGUUCGGUCAAGUGGAAGUGGGUUAAGCUGGCCUUUACCUUCGGGGCUGAGCGGUUGAGUGGGCAGCGAUAAUGAGCAGGCUGUUGCUGUACCCACAGAUGACCGUGGACCCGGUUCAUGGCCACCCACCCUGGGCUCUGGUGCUCGUGGCUGUGUCUGUGGGUUAUUUCCUGGCGGAUGGAGCCGACAUGCUGUGGAACCAGACCUUGGGCCAGGCCUGGGAUCUCCUCUGUCACCAUUUGGUGUGAGCUGCCUCAGCACCGCCGUUCUGUCUGGCCACUACGUGGGCUUCUCCCUGGUGUCUCUGCUCCUGGAGCUGAACUCCGUCUGCUUGCACCUGCGGAAGCUACUGCUGCUUUCUCACCAAGCUCCAUCCCUCGCCUUCAGCAUGAC